Molecule: long non-coding RNA, 1861 nt
Organism: Cyprinus carpio (common carp)
Lineage: Eukaryota; Metazoa; Chordata; Actinopteri; Cypriniformes; Cyprinidae
Source: RefSeq, a predicted model, not a curated record
CUGGGAUUUAAAAGGCCCACGACUGCCUCAGCAUUGAGCACUGAUCCUUGGUCCAGCUGGAAACUUCCCUGGAAGAAGAUAACACAGGCAUAAAAAUGAAUAAAAUUUGGAUUCUGUGUUUUGCGGUGCUGAUCAUCACCAUACCAUUUUCAACUCAGAAUAGUGAUGGUCAGAAGUCAGAAGUCAGUAGCUCAGCAUCCUCGAGUACUUCCACAAAUUCCAGCGCUGUAGGAUUGGGUCCUGUGCCCACCACACUGUACCUGCUGAUCCCUGCAGCCACCCUGGGCUUCAUCCACAGUAGAUCCUAAAAUGAUGACCAAGACAGAGACAGUGGCGAAAUGGACAGCCAUCCACCCAAAGAGCAAACUUUUCCACAAAACUUGAAGACAGAAGAUGCCGCAGCUCACAUUUUUGUAAUGGAUUUCAAGUAAUGAAAAUGAAUAAAGUUUGGAGAAUUUCUCCAAGAGGGAUUUGUUUGGUUACACCUGUUUUAGGGAGCCUGAAAGACACCUGCGACUCAGGGUCCUGCUACAGGACUCUUUGUUUUAGAGCUCACCUACUCAAUGGCAAAUUCUCUUGGAACAGUUUGAUUAUCCUAUGCUCAGUAUAUGAUAUAUAUAUUAAAUUUUAGCCCGAUUUCUGUAGUAACAUUGUGUACUACAAAUUUUACAUGUUACAAUAAAUGUGAUCAAUUUACUACAUCUCAGAAUGUGUCUGUAUGCACAAUUAAAAUAGAUGAUUGUAUGUUUGUUCCAUUUUUUUUUUCAUUCAAAUAAGUAUGAAUGUUUUCUCCUAAGAUAUAUAAUCAGAGUUUCAUAAUAUUUUUCCCCAUGUGUUUUACUGAAGAAUUAGAUGAGUAGAAAUACACUUAGAAUAAUCAGGAUUCUCCAUAUAUGUUUUCUUAUGCCAACAGCAAACCCAACAAAGCAAAAGAGAGUUUUAUAAUAUUUUUAGUAAGGUAAUAGGAUGUAGAGUAGAAAAUACAGGUAACCUAGUUUGAGAUGUAUUAGAGAAUUUAGUGUAUUUGACAUUUUAAAUAAAGCUUUAAGAGAUGAAGGCACUGUACUGAUAGAGGAUGUGAUCCUCCUCUUAAACCAAUGAGCAGGCACUUAAACACGUCACACAUCAGUCACUGUGAGAAUAAAACUCCCUCCCUGUCUCGCAUCACUGAGCACAGACUCUCUGCCCACAGAAAACAUCUCUGAAAGAAGAAGAAAAAAAGGCAUAAUCAUGAAUAAAAUACUGGCAUUGUGCAUCGGGUUACUGAUUAUAACCUUACCUUUUUCAUCUCAGCAGGACCAAAUUACAGCCAAAACACCUUCCCCCAGUAAACCUCCUGAGACUACAAAGCCUCCUCCCAGUGCUGCAGGACUGGGUCCUCUGCCCACCGUGCUGUGCCUUCUGAUCCCAGCAGCCACCCUGGGCUUCAUUCACAGUAGAUUCUAAACUGGCUGGAGAAUGUUUAGAUGACCAAGAGGAGCAAAGAUAGAUAGCCAGUCACAUGAAGACCAAACUUUUCCAAAAUUCUUUAAGAUAGAAGACACAAGAACAACUCAACAAGAAGAUGCCACAACAAAUCAGGUUUUUUAAUUUUUUUAAUAGUAAAAACUGGAAUGUAAAGGAAAAUUUCCACUGUAUACUGUACCGGGGGUCCUCCAAACCCCAACGAAACCACACCAUCUGACUCUUAGUUGUGUUUUAGCCCUGCUUUCAAUUGGACUCAUCAGUUGCAACAUCUUUUGAAAGACUGUAUGAAUCUGAUCACUGUAAUCCACCUUCUCCGAAAUAUUUUUGCACUAACUGUGAUGAACUACUAAUUGUAAGAAUGUGUCUAUAUGCACAAUUAAAGUGGAUGAUUGUA